CCCAAAUGUGUUGGCCAUCUAAAACCCUAACAUGCUGAUUUAUAGUGGGAGGAGUAAUCGUGGAGUGGGCUGCUUUUCACCAAAGUGGGCCCACCUACGUGGCUUGUUAUUAGCCAAGCGCACAGUCAAGCUUAAACGAGCCGGGCAAUCGAGUCAUUUCGCAGCUGUGUUUCUAUGCCUCGUUGUGUUUCGAAUUCUCUCACCCAUGAAAAUGUUCGAAAUCACUAGUGGCGAAGAAGAGAGCUCAUCAGCAACUGAUUCUGACAUUGCUUGGGAAGCCAUUGACAUCAGCAACUGAUUUUGAUUCUGACAUCAGGUCAUGAAAAGCAUGGACUGAGAUCAAACCUUCCUUUUAUGCUGCCUUGUUAGCUGGGAGAUCCAUAACAACGAGCUCAAGGCAAUCAGCUUGGACGUCAACCAUUAUCCUCACCCAGACACCCACUUUACAAUUACACCUCUCUGCGUCUUCUUCAGUAUGCUGGUUUUUAUGAGAUCUUCUCUCCUAAGAAAGGAGAGACGGUGUUCAUUUCAGCGGCAUCAGGAGCGGUAGGUCAGCUUGUUGGCCAAUUUGCCAAGUUUGGCCAGGUGCUAUGUUGUUGGGAGUGCUGGAAGCAAAGACAAGGUUGAUUUGCUGAAGAACAAGUUUCGCUUUGACCAGAAAGUCAGUAAAAUGGAUCACGAAAGAGGUGGACUAAAGCAUGCACAAGUUUGGAAAUAAGUGAAGGUUUCACUCUUCAAUACUUUCACAACAGAGUAAUCGAACAGCGGAUGCAGACGACAACCUUUAGUCCUCUCCAAUUGCACUCUUCUUUUCUUAUAAUUGCAUUUUCAACUUAAGAAAUGCCUGGGUUUCUUAGUUUAUGGAUUGUUGACAUUCUUUCACAACCGUGUGUAUAUUUGGAAUUAAUUUCAGUUUCACUUCAUUGAUUUCGUUUUUACAGAUUGUAAUUGUUGAAUGUAAA
Molecule: long non-coding RNA, 962 nt
Organism: Rosa chinensis
Lineage: Eukaryota; Viridiplantae; Streptophyta; Magnoliopsida; Rosales; Rosaceae
Exons: 3
Source: RefSeq, a predicted model, not a curated record